GUGGAUGUGAGGCCGUUCAGGGCAAGAGUAGGAGCAGUGAGUCCAAUUUUGUUUAAAAAUGGUGAAGGAUGUGGGGCCUGCUAUAAAGUUAAGUGUUUGGACCGUUCCGUUUGUUCAAGAAGAGCUGCGACGGUGAUUAUUACAGAUGAAUGUCCCGGUGGGUACUGCUCCGGCGGCAGAGUUCACUUUGACCUUAGUGGCGCCGCCUUUGGUCACAUGGCUGUUUCUGGUUACGGCGGUAGCCUCCGUGACCGUGGUGUUAUCUCCGUCAUUUACCGCCGGUAAGGAACUUUUGUCAUUUUUUAUUCUUGAUAACGGUCUUGUUUUUUUAUCUUUCCCUAUUUUGUCAAUUAGUGUUUAGUGGGUUGUUAAUUUAAUUUACUAUUUGCCCGUUUGGAUUGACUUAGAAAAAAGUGGCUUUUAAGUUAAGUGCUUAAAAGCACUUUAUAAGUGCUUAAAAUUACUUUAUAAAUGCUGGAAUUUGUUUUAUAAAUAAGCAGUUACGUAUUUGGAUAAAAGUGUUGAAACUUAAAACAAGCUGAUGAAGUGUUUGGUAAACAAGUACUGGUAAGCACUUUUUCUCGUUAAAAUGACUGAAAUAUCCUUAAAAUUGUUAACAUUAUAAAGAAGAAGAUGACCAUAAUAUUAUUUUUUUCGUUCAUAGCUUCAAAUUCAGGGGUACCACAUAAAUUCAUUGAAUGGUUUGAUUUUAGAAUAUAGUUACACCAAUUAAAAAAAAAAAGGAAGGAUUCAACUACCAAAGAAAUUAAAUGUUAUGGACCAAAAAAAGAAGCCAAAAGAAUAAUAUUUACAAAAUAUUGGAAUGUAUCAAACAUUAUUUAAAAAACUAUUAUUUGCUUCACGUUACGAACUUCAAGAAAUUGACAAAUAUUGAAGAAUGGAAAAAAAAAUAGUAUGUUGUAGGGUUUUUAUUUAGGGAUAAUUUCGGAAUCAAGAAAAAUUAGAAGGGAUAAGAAUGUAAUAUCCUUGGUCAAAGCAAUAUGGCUUUUAAGCCAAUUUAGAAAAAGUUAGGUUUUCCAACUUAUUUAUUUUAACUUUUUUUUAAAGUAAAUUUUAAAUUUUUUUAAGCUCAUUUUUUGGUUGUCAAACACUUAAACACGUUAGAAGCUGCUUAAAAGCCCAUCCAAAAGUGCUCUGUAUGUCAUAAAGUUUUUGAGUAGUACUAUUUUUGUUGACAAUGACACCCCUGAGUUAAGUGACUGUGUUGGGGUUAUUUCUGUAUCUUUUUUGGUCAUUUUUUAUUUGCUGAUGAUAUAUUUUAGUAUUGAUUAAAUGCUGCUUAGUUAUUAGCGCACAUUCACACACGAAAAAGUUAAUUAUAUUCUGUUUCCUUGUGUGUAGUUUCUGUAUGUUUUAUAUCCUUUUUGGUCAAAAACUUCACUGCUACUUCCUUGGUUUGCAUGAAUUGGAGUCUGACUGAUGACCACUUUCCCUCUGACCAUAUUUAUUUCACCAUUUUUGUGGUUACCUUUCAAGAUAUUUUUAUUACUCCUAUUAUCUUCUCUUUGGAUGACUAAUAUUAUUCUCUUUUCCUCAUAGUAAUUUAUUAAGUAGUAGCUUUUUUACACUUUAAUAGAUGAUGGGCACUAAUAUUAUUGAAUUUGUGGGUGUAGAACUCCAUGUAAGUACCCUGGAAAGAACAUAGCCUUCCAUGUAAAUGAAGGCUCAACACCUUACUGGCUUUCUCUUCUUGUGGAAUUUGAGGAUGGAGAUGGUGAUGUUGGAUCCAUGCAUAUUAGAGAGGUACAUAUCUUAUGUCUCCGCUUUUAUUUAUAUACACUCAUAAGCGAAACCAAAAUUUAAAAUUUAUGAGUUCAAAUUCAAAAUUGCACCACUUCACAUUUAAUUUACUGGGUUCAGAAUAUAUUUUUUGCACUUAGUCGGAUUAUUAAUACAUAUACAGGGUCCAAGGCAAAACUAUUGGUUCAAAUGAAUCGUAGCUUCUUCCUUGGCUCCGCACAAUAUACACUUAUAAUGUAAAAAGUAUUUACACUACAAAAUAACAACUUGUGUAUAGCUUAAGCUCUUUAUUUAAUUGGUCAAACUGAAGAUUGAAAGCUUCCUAGUCAAAAGAAGUUUUCGAGUACUAUUAUAAAGGAUGAGGGAACAUGUUAUGGUCUGCAGUUUCACAGUUAUCAAAAAGGACCUCUGAGGUUUUUUAGCCUCUGCUUUAGAAGACUCUUUACAUUUUACAAGAAAUCUAAAAAUAUACCUAUUAGACAAAUCCGAACAUUUAGGUGCUUAGAGAGAACUUUAAGAAUCACGUGAUGCCAGACAAAGCAAAAUCUUUGUUUGACAUUAUGAAAGAUUCAUUUGGCGUACAUUUGAUACUCUCUCUGCCACAAUCUCACCAUUGCUUUACCAUGAAUAUAGAUAGUAUAUCUUCUUUUUGGGUAUGAAUAUGAAAAGUUCCUCUCCAUCUUGACUUGGUUGUCCAAAGUAUUAUGCACUUCAAUCACUUUCCACAUGCUUUUCUUUUUAUCACUGUUUUACAACAGUGCAGAAGUGUUAAAUACAUACAAAAGUUACCUCCUCUUUUCAACAACAAUAACAAACUCUGUAAUCCAAUAAGUGGGAUUUGGAGAGGGUAAUCUGUACACAGACCUUACUCCUACUUUGUGAAGGUAAAGAGGUUAUUUCCGAUAGACCUCGACCCUCUUUUUAACCAAAUACAAUUAAAAAUGUCUUCUUCCCUCAUUGGUUUAUGAAGGGUAGAUUCUUUUUCCUUUAUCAGACAGACAAGAAUUUUGGAUUUUUUUUUGAAAAGACUCUAAAAUUUGCUAAUUUUUCAGGCGAAGUCGAAUGUAUGGUUAGAGAUGACACAUAUAUGGGGAGCAAAUUGGUGCAUAAUUGGAGGACCAUUGCAAGGACCUUUUUCAGUGAAGUUAACAACACUCUCAACUGGCAAAGCCCUCUCAGCAAGAGAUGUUAUUCCAG
RNAcentral lists this long non-coding RNA (2958 nucleotides) under Nicotiana tabacum (common tobacco). RNAcentral's name for it is "long non-coding RNA (NTAB_LNC017433)". Lineage: Eukaryota; Viridiplantae; Streptophyta; Magnoliopsida; Solanales; Solanaceae. The record is from RNAcentral.